UACUUGGGAGCUAGAUUAUGAUAAUUAUGUAAAUUAAGUUUGUUAUCUAUAUUAUUGUUAUUAUUAUUAGUAUUAUUCCACUCAUAGAAAUGGUAUCGUGAAGCACCGAGUUCUGGUUUCAAGUACCUGGAUUUGGGGGCUUUAUAGGUUGGUAUCAGAGCUUAGGGUUAGAAACUUUAGGUGGGAUAGACCUUAGGCUAUAACCUUAGAACAGAG
Molecule: long non-coding RNA, 216 nt
Filed under: Panax ginseng (ginseng)
Lineage: Eukaryota; Viridiplantae; Streptophyta; Magnoliopsida; Apiales; Araliaceae
Description: long non-coding RNA (PGIN_LNC001438)
Source: RNAcentral